Molecule: ribosomal RNA, 301 nt
Filed under: uncultured bacterium
Lineage: Bacteria
Description: partial 16S ribosomal RNA
Rfam family: Bacterial small subunit ribosomal RNA
Source: RNAcentral
CAGUCGCCACGGUAAAACCGAGGGUGCAAGCGUUAAUCGGAAUUACUGGGCGUAAAGCGCGCGUAGGUGGUUUGUUAAGUUGGAUGUGAAAGCCCCGGGCUCAACCUGGGAACUGCAUCCAAAACUGGCAAGCUAGAGUACGGUAGAGGGUGGUGGAAUUUCCUGUGUAGCUGUGAAAUGCGUAGAUAUAGGAAGGAACACCAGUGGCGAAGGCGACCACCUGGACUGAUACUGACACUGAGGUGCGAAAGCGUGGGGAGCAAACAGGAUUAGAUACCCCCGUAGUCCCUGUCUCUUAUAC